RNAcentral lists this ribosomal RNA (253 nucleotides) under uncultured bacterium. RNAcentral describes it as "partial 16S ribosomal RNA". It matches the Rfam family "Bacterial small subunit ribosomal RNA", at positions 524 to 776 of the family's 1533-position model. The record is from RNAcentral.
UACAGAGGUCCCGAGCGUUGUUCGGAUUCACUGGGCGUAAAGGGUGCGCAGGUGGGCUGGUAAGUUCGAUGUGAAAGCCCUGGGCUCAACCUGGGAACGGCAUUGGAAACUGGCUUACUAGAGUGCGGUAGAGGGGUGUGGAAUUCCCGGUGUAGCAGUGAAAUGCGUAGAUAUCGGGAGGAACAUCUGUGGCGAAGGCGACACCCUGGACCAGCACUGACACUGAGGCACGAAAGCGUGGGGAGCAAACAGG